GCGUAAUGUAGGUUCAUGGCCUAGACUGCUGGGGUGGCUUCGCGCUGCUCUCUUCGCCAUUGGCGGGCGGUUCGAACGGCAGCGGAUGUGACGACGUGGGCUCCCUACCCGGUGACCGGAAGGAGCCGUUUGAAACGACGGAGGCCGGGCGCGGGCAGAAGUCAAAUAUUCAAUGUAUGCAAAGAUGAAAAGAAAAGUGGCAAAAGGUGGGAGACUGAGGCUUAGUCCUAAUGAAGAAGCUUUACUUUUGAAAGAAGAAUAUGAAAGACGACGAAGACUAAGGCUGCAGCAGGUUAGAGAGCAGGAGAGAUACAUUGCCGUGCAGAUAAGACAAGAAGUGAAGCAGAGGAGAGAUGAGCAGCUACAUCAGUUGGCAGAGGAACUGAAAGCAGAGUGGUGGAAAGCACAAAAUCAGAAGAUUAAAGCCUUGGAAAAACUUUAUCUAUCAAGUUUAAGAGCUGUGGGAGAUGGACACAGACAGGCAAAGGAAAAUGAACCUGAUUUGGUGGCUCUGGCAAAGGAAGCAGAGGAAAGGAAACAAAGAGCAGAGAAGAGACAUAAGGAAGCCCUGAAAGAACAGAAAAAUCAAAAAGAAAAAUUGUUGAAAGAGCAAACAUGGCGAACAAAUGCACGUAAGCAUGCAAUGUAUGUGGAAAAAGAGAGAGCUGCCAAAAUUGCAAGCCUGCCACCACCUCCACCCCAUCCUUUUGAGAACUUUGAAGUGAAAAGACUGCCUACGGUGAAGGUCUAUAAUGCUGACAAUUUUUCUGUUACUCAUCACCAUCUUUCUGAACCUUAUGUGGAUAGAGAAAUGGACACACAGCAGGUGACUGAUAUCAAAUAUGCCUAUGGCAUAUGCUCCCUUAUUUCAGUACUAUUGUACUAUGCUCGGUUAGUAGCUGAAGAGGAAGCAAAGCGGUUGGACGAACUACAAAAAGAGGGAGAGAGAGAUAGGAGAGAACAGCUUGAAAAAGCACAUCUGAGAGGAAGUCAUGCCUUGAAGAUGGUCCAUUUGGCACAAGACCGGGAAAGGUUAAUGAAAGAACUUGAACAGAUGCAGAAUAUGGACCUGGCGCGCAGAAGACAGAUUGUGGCACAGAUGCCGCCACAGCUGUUCGAACCUGCAUACAGACGCAUGGAAAUUAAAGAAGACUGGCAGAGGGAACUGGAGUUUGCCUUUGAAGAUAUGUACAGUGGAGAUAGGAAAAUGAAAGGAGACAUGAUUUUGCACCUAGAGCCACAGCCUUUGCCAAUUCCCUCUGAUCGGUCUCAAGAUGAAGACUUGGAUAUCUCCCUGGAGCCAGAUCUUGCAUGUGAGACUCAACCAAAAAUGGAGGAGGUGACAGAAAAGGAAGCCCAGCACCCUAGUGAACCAGAGAAUCAUGAAAUGAGAGUGGCUCCCCAACCACAAUCAAAACUGGUCUUAAAAAAAUUGCUAAAUAAGAUCCGGAGCCAAAAAGACCAGUGGACUUCAAAAUGUGAAGCAGAGAUUCAAAGUGAAAUUGAGACAAUUGAGUCAGGAACACUUGCUAGUGAAGAGAGACGAUUAUGUGAUUCAGAUCCUGGUCAUGAACAACAUACUGAUUCAGUCUCUGAGGCCAUAGAAUCUCCAGAAACGUUGGAGCAUACUGUUAUAGCUGGAAAUUCAGUCCUAAUCCACCCUCAAGAACAAGCAGCCAAAAUCAGAAUGGAAGUAGAGAGACAAAAACAGCUAGAGCGAAUAGAACAACAAAAACAGCAGCAGCUAAUUUUGCUUAAGCAAAUUGAAGAAAAGCGAAUAUGCUUAGAGGCAGAGUUCCUAAAGGUCCAAAUGCAGGCUCAGCUGGAGGAAAUAAAGAAAAAAGAGCAAGAGGAGAAAGCUGCGAGUGUUGAGCUGAGUCCUGAUCCACUUAUGAACCAACAGAGGGAAGUGGAACACGAGACUGAAACUGCUGCAGUGCCGGGAACGAGCAGUUCUAAUGAAGAAAAUCAUAUACAGAUGAUUCGUAACUAUCAACAAUGUCUUCUACUGCAAAACAGAUUGCACAAACAGUCAGUUGAAGAAGCCAGAAAACAGUUGCAGGAAUAUCAGAAUAAGUUGAAGCAAAGAUAUCCAUCUAUUUCUAUGCCAUUAGGCUCUGCAGUUACAUUGCAGUCCAGAUUUAUUAACUUAAAACCUACUCCCUGUGAAUCAGUUUUACAAAUGCGUGGACCCACAGUGAUUCAUAGAGAUUAUCCAUCAGCUAGCCAGUCAUCUGUACAUGUUCAUGUACAAGAAUAUGCUCCGCCAUUAACCACACAUUCAAGAACACGUUUUGUGUUGGAAAAGCCAUUUGAACAGAGAGAUGACGAGCAAAGGCAUAACAUGGGCUCUAGUAGACAGAUACAAUCUAUAGAGGCCUCACAGUUGGAGCAAAAGCAGUUUCAUUUGCCACAACAGAAUUACCCUUCACAAGAACAGAUGGAAAUAUUGGGUCCUUCUGAUAAUCAGGUGAGAGACUUGUCAGAAUCCCAGAAGCUGCCUGGGUCAGUCAUGAUGACUUCACAAGAUGCUUCAGUUAUGAUGCAAACAGAGGCUCAUAUACAACAGGACAGUUCAGCUUUGCCCACAGAAGAGUCAUCUGAGUCUUCAAGAACCCUGGAUCUUGAUAAAACUUCAGUAAUGUCUCAGAAGAUGCCAAACCUACUAAUAGAGACAGAAGCACAAAAACAGCCUCGGCUUAUAGUUCUUGGUACGCCAGCAGCAGAGGGGUCUCUCAUAGCUCAGGCUGCAUCAUUUGGUUCUUCAGAAUACCAGCAGGUACCUACAGAGAGCAGCAUAAAAACAACCUUUGAACAAACUAUCCCCCAGCCUUUUCAACAUCUUACUUCAUUAUCUCCUGAUGAAUCUGAGACUGGGGCAAGCCAGGAGUCCUUGGCAUCCAAAAAUGGAGGUGCAUCUUUGUUAAAUUAUUCCAGUAUACUAAAGUUAAGAGAGAGAGUGCUAGCUUCUUCAGAGAGCAUCCAAGCUCAGCAAGACCAUUUGAAAGAACUGCAAGAGCAACUGGAUGUACAAAGAGAAGCUCUUCUUUCUAGGCAGAGAAUGCAGGAAGAACUGCUUUUACGUAAGCAGGCUAAAUUGAAGGAACAGAUGCAGAGACAACAAGAGGCUUUGAAGGAUUUUCUUAAUAAGCAGGCAGAAGAAUCUGUCACAUACAGAGAGAUGACAGAAACACCGAAGUCUGACCACUUCAAUCUGAUGACUUACCUUUUCAAAGAUGCAGAAAAUAAAUCUCAAGAAGUUAAUUGUUGUGAUGUGAACAAAUAUGAUGAAAAUAGAUUGCUUUCACAAAGCAUCAGUCAAGCUGAGCAAAUCGAGCAGUCUCAAAGAAUUCUGGGAAGAGAACAGAGAUGGCGAACUUCAAAACCACCUCUGGCUAAAAUCAAGUUAGGGCUAGAUUUGGAACAACAUGAAUUAAGUGUAAUACCAGAGCUAGACACGCCAAGGAGUGGCAAAGUUUCUUUUGCAGAUAAGACCGAUUCCGUUAGUGGAGAAGCUUCUCUCAUUUCAUCUGUGGAAGAGCUAGUGUCUGGUAUGUGCAACAGUGAAUCGGUUCAUGAAGAAAGAGACUUAUCCAUAGCCAACUGCAAAGAACAAGGUUCUAGUGAGAACCCAAGAUGCACUAACCAACUAAGUAGUUCAUGGCAUGAAAGACUGAUGGUGGAUGCUAGUAGUUCACAUGAGCCAGCCAACCCCAAUGAUUCUGUUGUCAUGGGUCAAGAUUUACCAAUUUAUGCUGCUGACAUUGGAAGGAGAGUAAUUACAGAUUCUGGGCCAUCAUUUAGACCUGAUAGUACGGUAGCACUUUCUAAAGGAUGGACAACCAGUUUUGCUCCACAGGCUUGUGCACGAGAGACAGCCUGUGAUUAUUUGUCUUCAACAACAAUUUCCACUGGCAGUUUUUUAACCAGUGAAAAGUUGGACCUAAGCCCUGCUAACACUGAGUUGUCUUCAAAUAGUGCCGAGGAUAGGAUAUUGAGAGAAACAGCAAGCAGCCCUUGGGACUCUUCUGCAUCUCCAACACCUACCACUGCUCAGCAGAGGCAAGAGAAUUCUUCUGAAGUUUCUGAAUUUCAUCUGCCUGCAGAAGAGAAUUUUAUCUCUAAUAGAAGUCAAAUUCAGCAGAUCAUAGACAAAUAUACGAAAGAUUUGAACUGGUUACCUGAAAACACUAUAUCUUUCCAUGCUCCAGCAGUUGGACUCGAUUUUUCUGAUAUGGAAAGAAAUUUCCCUAACUUUCAACGUCAGGUUUUUCAGCCUUUGGAACCAAGUCCUGACUUUGAUAUCUCAUCAUCCCUUUCUCAACAUAGGAUUUCUGAAGACAGCAAAGAUUUUAGCAAGAGUUUCGCUUUCUCAAUCCAAAGUCAAGACACAUCUGUAUUUCCUGAAGCCACAACCUCUAGCUUGAAAGCAAGAAGUUACAAUCUGCAUUCUUUUCUUAAUACAAAGAAGCUAAACAAUACUACAUCACAAGCAGAGGAGUCAAUGAAGGAAAAUGUUACUCUGGCAGGUUCUGAAGAAUCUUUUCACCCUCUUCAGUUGGAAUCUACCCUGAAUGAGCACAGCCAGAGUACUGCACAACCAAUAGGUCUUCGCAUUGUAUUUGAACACAAUUCUAAAAUUAAAAAAUCAGAGAAUGAGAACUACGUUUCACCUGUUGGAAACCAAUAUGAGGGGCUGGCGAGAAAUAUAGAGAAUACUAAUCUCCAGUCUUCAGUGGAAAACCUGCGGAGUCCAACGCUGAGUUCAUCAGAAGAACUGGGUUCAUUUUAUCAGCUAAUUACAACACAGAUUACAGAAAAUGAGACUCUCCUGACUGAACAUUCAGUAAAAGAAGUUGCGGAACUGAGAAAAGAGAACUUGUGCUUUGAAGAAUUACCUGUUGUGACACCAAAUAAGCACAGGGAGCUUACUGAAACCCCAGUUCUUAGCAAUGAAGCAAAUAGGAUUGUGGAAGGUGACCAUUCACAGUGCAGUACAAAUAUAUUGGAGGAAGAACAAAGCAUUCUAGAAGUACAGAUGUCCUCUAGAAUGCCUAGAGCAGUAGACUCAGAAAUCUACAUCAACCCUUCACAAGCAACUAGACAACAAAAUGGUGGUUUGCCAGAAAUACCCCAAAACCAAAAUUCUAAUUCAGUGCUCACAAUAAGUUCAGGGUCACAUUCCUUACAAAGCCGUGUGCCAGUCUGGGAGACAGAGUCAGGGCAUGGGAUUAUGGAAGAACCUGAACUGACUCUGAUAAGCUCAAAUGACAUCAGUGUUGCAGAAUCAGACUCGGAACACAUUAGCCAAGAGAAAAAAAGAAAAAUAAGUUGGAUAGCCUGGCAUAUGCUGGCCAGUCUGAACUUAAAAGUUGUUCUGAGGUGCAGUUGUCAGUCAAUUGAAGAAAGUGGGGGAAGUGAAAGUGUGCUCUCCAGAGGACAAAAGGUCUGCAGAUGUUCAAAUGCAGCAGCGCACUUUAAGACUUUAUAAUCAACUAGCCGAAGUGAAAAUCAGAAAGGAAGAGAAAUCAAGACAAGAAACCUAUGCUAAAAACAGAGAAAAGGCUAAAGAGUUUCAAAAGAAAACAUUGGAAAAACUACGAGCCAAAAAGACACAUUGAACACUACAUCCUUUAAGAGACUUCUGCCAAUAAGAAGUGCUUGACUCCUUUCUCAGUUCAAUCCAAGGAAUGUAUGAGAAGGCCAAAGUCACAUUAAGCAAUAUCAUUAUGUAACUUUGAAGUACUGAGCUUUGAUCUAGGUCAAAAAAUCAUAAUUUAAAUAAUGUAGCAACUUAAUUUAUUCCCAAGAUUUGAAUGAUCACCACCACCAACACUUGCCUAAUUACAGAUUUGGUCUGCCAGUUUAUACUCCAUUUCUGCUUGUAUUAUGAUUCAGAUUAUUGUACAAAGGCGUUUUUACAUUGAGGAUGGUCUGCAUUUAAAAGUGAAGGGUCAGCUGAAUCUUUUUAAUAAAGUUUUGUAAUGAAACCUG
Molecule: non-coding RNA, 5994 nt
Organism: Chrysemys picta bellii (western painted turtle)
Lineage: Eukaryota; Metazoa; Chordata; Testudines; Emydidae
Source: RefSeq, a predicted model, not a curated record